Molecule: ribosomal RNA, 325 nt
Filed under: uncultured bacterium
Lineage: Bacteria
Description: bacterial SSU rRNA
Rfam family: Bacterial small subunit ribosomal RNA
Source: RNAcentral
GCAGCGACGCCUGAUGCAGCGACGCCGCGUGAGGGAUGGAGGCCUUCGGGUUGUAAACCUCUUUUAUCGGGGAGCAAGCGUGAGUGAGUUUACCCGUUGAAUAAGCACCGGCUAACUACGUGCCAGCAGCCGCGGUAAUACGUAGGGUGCAAGCGUUAUCCGGAAUUAUUGGGCGUAAAGGGCUCGUAGGCGGUUCGUCGCGUCCGGUGUGAAAGUCCAUCGCUUAACGGUGGAUCCGCGCCGGGUACGGGCGGGCUUGAGUGCGGUAGGGGAGACUGGAAUUCCCGGUGUAACGGUGGAAUGUGUAGAUAUCGGGAAGAACACC